CGUUUACUUUGAAAAAAUUGGAGUGCUCAAAGCAAGCGUACAGUCGCUAUGCGGCUUGAACAGUGGUGCAUGGAAUAAUGGAAUAGGGCCUCGGUUCUAUUUUGUUGGUUUUCAGAUAUCGAGGUAAUGAUUAAGAGGGACAGUCGGGGACAUUUGUAUUGCGACGUUAGAGGUGAAAUUCUUGGAUCGUCGCAAGACACACUAAUGCGAAAGCAUUUGUCUAGCAUGUUUUCAUUGAUCAAGAACGAAAGUUAGAGGUUCGAAGGCGAUCAGAUACCGCCCUAGUUCUAACCAUAAACGAUGCCAACCAGCGAUCCGUCGGUGUUCUCAAUUAUGAAUGACCUGACGGGCAGCUUCCGGGAAACCAAAGUUUUCGGGUUCCGGGGGAAGUAUGGUUGCAAAGCUGAAACUUAAAGGAAUUGACGGAAGGGCACCACCAGGAGUGGAGCCUGCGGCUUAAUUUGACUCAACACGGG
Molecule: ribosomal RNA, 476 nt
Filed under: Echiniscus sp. CJS-2007a
Lineage: Eukaryota; Metazoa; Tardigrada; Heterotardigrada; Echiniscoidea; Echiniscidae
Description: SSU rRNA
Rfam family: Eukaryotic small subunit ribosomal RNA
Source: RNAcentral